AGAUUUUUUGACUCUUUCUAGGCUGUAGUUUCUUUCCAGACUAUCUUACAGCGAUUUGAGUGCCUUGAGCCAACUUCCCUUUCUGACCCAAAGACUAGAUCUCCGUGGAUGCAAUACGGAAGCUCAACCCAACCCUGAGCCCGGGGUUUUCCCGGAUGUCCACUGAAGAAAAUUCCCAGGAAGACUCCGGUAAGAAGAUACGUCGUUUAUGACUAAGGCGGUUUGGGAAAUGAAGAGACUGUCCUCAUUUCUUAUACUGACUUCAGUCUUUUAAGGAAGAAUGCAUUUAAGGAAGCCUCAAACACCGGAACAGGGAGUGUAAGUCCCUCCAGUAAGAAAACACAGAGAAGGAAGGGGGAAAAAAUAGAUAGAUAGACUCUGAUCCUUUCUCCUCAGAAGUGUUAAUGAAGAACCUGAACAACUUGACUCUCAACCCUGGUACCCAAUCCCUUUCCUCUCUGCCAGAAGAUCAGUUCCAGCAGGGGGACAGAGAAAAGAUCAGAGGGGAGAAGAGAAAUGCUUUUGUCUUCUGGAGAAGUGCAGUAAGGACAUCGUUAUCUCGGCGGAAAGAAAUGUUUGAGAGAAUGGUAAAAGUGAAAUACCUCUACCUCAACCAAUCUUAUCUGUGUUUUCAAUGAAUAUUUCUUUAUCCUUCCCAUGAAGGUUGAAAGAGAGCUAACAAGCACUCGGCAUGAGAGCUUUCAGAAUGGAUCGAGAAAUGAAACAUUAAGAUGCGGCUGUCUUUUUUGCCUAUAUUAUAGUUGAGAUUCUUCUGAGAAUGCUAGCAUAGAGAAUAAUUAUGACUUAGAGUCAAUUUAGUCAUAAAAAUCAUUCUUGUACUUUUCUUUCUCACUAGUA
Molecule: long non-coding RNA, 858 nt
Organism: Choloepus didactylus (southern two-toed sloth)
Lineage: Eukaryota; Metazoa; Chordata; Mammalia; Pilosa; Megalonychidae
Exons: 4
Source: RefSeq, a predicted model, not a curated record